AGAGAGAGCGUGUGCACGAGUGAG
Molecule: non-coding RNA, 24 nt
Filed under: Mus musculus (house mouse)
Lineage: Eukaryota; Metazoa; Chordata; Mammalia; Rodentia; Muridae
Source: RNAcentral